GGGGAUUUAGCUCAGAGGUAGAGCGCUUGCCUAGCAAGCGCAAGGCCCUGGGUUCAAUCCCCAGCUCCG
Molecule: transfer RNA, 69 nt
Filed under: Rattus norvegicus (Norway rat)
Lineage: Eukaryota; Metazoa; Chordata; Mammalia; Rodentia; Muridae
Rfam family: tRNA
About the family: Transfer RNA (tRNA) molecules are approximately 80 nucleotides in length. Their secondary structure includes four short double-helical elements and three loops (D, anti-codon, and T loops). Further hydrogen bonds mediate the characteristic L-shaped molecular structure. tRNAs have two regions of fundamental functional importance: the anti-codon, which is responsible for specific mRNA codon recognition, and the 3' end, to which the tRNAs corresponding amino acid is attached (by aminoacyl-tRNA synthetases). tRNAs cope with the degeneracy of the genetic code in two manners: having more than one tRNA (with a specific anti-codon) for a particular amino acid; and 'wobble' base-pairing, i.e. permitting non-standard base-pairing at the 3rd anti-codon position.
Source: Rfam by way of RNAcentral